UACGGGGGGGGCAAGCGUUGUUCGGAAUUACUGGGCGUAAAGGGCUCGUAGGCGGCCAACUAAGUCGGACGUGAAAUCCCUCAGCUUAACUGGGGAACUGCGUCCGAUACUGGAUGGCUUGGAUUUGGGAGAGGGAUGCGGAAUUCCAAGUGUAGCGGUGAAAUGCGUAGAUAUCUGGAGGAACACCGGUGGCGAAGGCGGCAUCCUGGACCAAUAUUGACGCUGAGGAGCGAAAGCUAGGGGAGCAAACGGG
RNAcentral lists this ribosomal RNA (253 nucleotides) under uncultured bacterium. Its description in RNAcentral is "partial 16S ribosomal RNA". It matches the Rfam family "Bacterial small subunit ribosomal RNA", at positions 524 to 776 of the family's 1533-position model. The record is from RNAcentral.